Molecule: ribosomal RNA, 2928 nt
Filed under: Salmonella enterica subsp. enterica serovar Enteritidis str. EC20110355
Lineage: Bacteria; Pseudomonadati; Pseudomonadota; Gammaproteobacteria; Enterobacterales; Enterobacteriaceae
Description: bacterial LSU rRNA
Rfam family: Bacterial large subunit ribosomal RNA
Source: RNAcentral
GGGUUGUGAGGUUAAGCGACUAAGCGUACACGGUGGAUGCCCUGGCAGUCAGAGGCGAUGAAGGGCGUGCUAAUCUGCGAUAAGCGCCGGUAAGGUGAUAUGAACCGUUAUAACCGGCGAUACCCGAAUGGGGAAACCCAGUGUGAUUCGUCACACUAUCAUUAACUGAAUCCAUAGGUUAAUGAGGCGAACCGGGGGAACUGAAACAUCUAAGUACCCCGAGGAAAAGAAAUCAACCGAGAUUCCCCCAGUAGCGGCGAGCGAACGGGGAGGAGCCCAGAGCCUGAAUCAGCAUGUGUGUUAGUGGAAGCGUCUGGAAAGGCGCGCGAUACAGGGUGACAGCCCCGUACACAAAAGCGCAUGUGCUGUGAGCUCGAUGAGUAGGGCGGGACACGUGGUAUCCUGUCUGAAUAUGGGGGGACCAUCCUCCAAGGCUAAAUACUCCUGACUGACCGAUAGUGAACCAGUACCGUGAGGGAAAGGCGAAAAGAACCCCGGCGAGGGGAGUGAAAAAGAACCUGAAACCGUGUACGUACAAGCAGUGGGAGCACAGGUUUACCUGUGUGACUGCGUACCUUUUGUAUAAUGGGUCAGCGACUUAUAUUCUGUAGCAAGGUUAACCGAAUAGGGGAGCCGGAGGGAAACCGAGUCUUAAUUGGGCGUUAAGUUGCAGGGUAUAGACCCGAAACCCGGUGAUCUAGCCAUGGGCAGGUUGAAGGUUGGGUAACACUAACUGGAGGACCGAACCGACUAAUGUUGAAAAAUUAGCGGAUGACCUGUGGCUGGGGGUGAAAGGCCAAUCAAACCGGGAGAUAGCUGGUUCUCCCCGAAAGCUAUUUAGGUAGCGCCUCGUGAAUUCAUCUCCGGGGGUAGAGCACUGUUUCGGCUAGGGGGCCAUCCCGGCUUACCAACCCGAUGCAAACUGCGAAUACCGGAGAAUGUUAUCACGGGAGACACACGGCGGGUGCUAACGUCCGUCGUGAAGAGGGAAACAACCCAGACCGCCAGCUAAGGUCCCAAAGUCAUGGUUAAGUGGGAAACGAUGUGGGAAGGCCCAGACAGCCAGGAUGUUGGCUUAGAAGCAGCCAUCAUUUAAAGAAAGCGUAAUAGCUCACUGGUCGAGUCGGCCUGCGCGGAAGAUGUAACGGGGCUAAACCAUGCACCGAAGCUGCGGCAGCGACGCUUAUGCGUUGUUGGGUAGGGGAGCGUUCUGUAAGCCUGCGAAGGUGGCCUGUGAGGGUUGCUGGAGGUAUCAGAAGUGCGAAUGCUGACAUAAGUAACGAUAAAGCGGGUGAAAAGCCCGCUCGCCGGAAGACCAAGGGUUCCUGUCCAACGUUAAUCGGGGCAGGGUGAGUCGACCCCUAAGGCGAGGCCGAAAGGCGUAGUCGAUGGGAAACGGGUUAAUAUUCCCGUACUUGGUGUUACUGCGAAGGGGGGACGGAGAAGGCUAUGUUGGCCGGGCGACGGUUGUCCCGGUUUAAGCGUGUAGGUGUGUGUUCCAGGUAAAUCCGGUUCACUUUAACACUGAGGCGUGACGACGAGGCACUACGGUGCUGAAGCAACAAAUGCCCUGCUUCCAGGAAAAGCCUCUAAGCAUCAGGUAACAUCAAAUCGUACCCCAAACCGACACAGGUGGUCAGGUAGAGAAUACCAAGGCGCUUGAGAGAACUCGGGUGAAGGAACUAGGCAAAAUGGUGCCGUAACUUCGGGAGAAGGCACGCUGACACGUAGGUGAAGUGAUUUACUCAUGGAGCUGAAGUCAGUCGAAGAUACCAGCUGGCUGCAACUGUUUAUUAAAAACACAGCACUGUGCAAACACGAAAGUGGACGUAUACGGUGUGACGCCUGCCCGGUGCCGGAAGGUUAAUUGAUGGGGUCAGCGCAAGCGAAGCUCCUGAUCGAAGCCCCGGUAAACGGCGGCCGUAACUAUAACGGUCCUAAGGUAGCGAAAUUCCUUGUCGGGUAAGUUCCGACCUGCACGAAUGGCGUAAUGAUGGCCAGGCUGUCUCCACCCGAGACUCAGUGAAAUUGAACUCGCUGUGAAGAUGCAGUGUACCCGCGGCAAGACGGAAAGACCCCGUGAACCUUUACUAUAGCUUGACACUGAACAUUGAGCCUUGAUGUGUAGGAUAGGUGGGAGGCUUUGAAGUGUGGACGCCAGUCUGCAUGGAGCCGACCUUGAAAUACCACCCUUUAAUGUUUGAUGUUCUAACGUGGACCCGUUACCCGGGUUGCGGACAGUGUCUGGUGGGUAGUUUGACUGGGGCGGUCUCCUCCUAAAGAGUAACGGAGGAGCACGAAGGUUGGCUAAUCCUGGUCGGACAUCAGGAGGUUAGUGCAAUGGCAUAAGCCAGCUUGACUGCGAGCGUGACGGCGCGAGCAGGUGCGAAAGCAGGUCAUAGUGAUCCGGUGGUUCUGAAUGGAAGGGCCAUCGCUCAACGGAUAAAAGGUACUCCGGGGAUAACAGGCUGAUACCGCCCAAGAGUUCAUAUCGACGGCGGUGUUUGGCACCUCGAUGUCGGCUCAUCACAUCUGGGGCUGAAGUAGGUCCCAAGGGUAUGGCUGUUCGCCAUUUAAAGUGGUACGCGAGCUGGGUUUAGAACGUCGUGAGACAGUUCGGUCCCUAUCUGCCGUGGGCGCUGGAGAACUGAGGGGGGCUGCUCCUAGUACGAGAGGACCGGAGUGGACGCAUCACUGGUGUUCGGGUUGUCAUGCCAAUGGCACUGCCCGGUAGCUAAAUGCGGAAGAGAUAAGUGCUGAAAGCAUCUAAGCACGAAACUUGCCCCGAGAUGAGUUCUCCCUGAGACUUAGAGUCUCCUGAAGGAACGUUGAAGACGACGACGUUGAUAGGCCGGGUGUGUAAGCGCAGCGAUGCGUUGAGCUAACCGGUACUAAUGAACCGUGAGGCUUAACCUUACAACGCCGAAG